RNAcentral lists this ribosomal RNA (299 nucleotides) under uncultured bacterium. RNAcentral describes it as "partial 16S ribosomal RNA". It matches the Rfam family "Bacterial small subunit ribosomal RNA", at positions 475 to 776 of the family's 1533-position model. The record is from RNAcentral.
CUAUGCGCCUUGCCAGCCCGCUCAGGUGUGCCAGCCGCCGCGGUAAUACAGAGGUCUCAAGCGUUGUUCGGAAUCACUGGGCGUAAAGCGUGCGUAGGCGGUUUCGUAAGUCGUGUGUGAAAGGCGGGGGCUCAACCCCCGGACUGCACAUGAUACUGCGAGACUAGAGUAAUGGAGGGGGAACCGGAAUUCUCGGUGUAGCAGUGAAAUGCGUAGAUAUCGAGAGGAACACUCGUGGCGAAGGCGGGUUCCUGGACAUUAACUGACGCUGAGGCACGAAGGCCAGGGGAGCGAAAGGG